RNAcentral lists this ribosomal RNA (528 nucleotides) under uncultured bacterium. RNAcentral's name for it is "partial 16S ribosomal RNA". It matches the Rfam family "Bacterial small subunit ribosomal RNA", at positions 28 to 523 of the family's 1533-position model. The record is from RNAcentral.
GACGAACGCUGGCGGCGUGCCUAAUACAUGCAAGUCGAGCGAGCUGAACCAGCAGAUUCACUUCGGUGAUGACGCUGGGAACGCGAGCGGCGGAUGGGUGAGUAACACGUGGGUAACCUGCCCUAAAGUCUGGGAUACCACUUGGAAACAGGUGCUAAUACCGGAUAACAACAAUAGCUGCAUGGCUAUUGCUUAAAAGGCGGCGAAAGCUGCCGCUAAAGGAUGGACCCGGGGUGCAUUAGCUAGUUGGUAAGGUAACGGCUUACCAAGGCGACGAUGCAUAGCCGAGUUGAGGGACUGAUCGGCCACAUUGGGACUGAGACACGGCCCAAACUCCUACGGGAGGCAGCAGUAGGGAAUCUUCCACAAUGGGCGAAAGCCUGAUGGAGCAACGCCGCGUGAGUGAAGAAGGUUUUCGGAUCGUAAAGCUCUGUUGUUGGUGAAGAAGGAUAGAGGUAGUAACUGGCCCCCAUUUGACGGUAAUCAACCAGAAAGUCACGGCUAACUACGUGCCAGCCGCCGCCGUAA